This 201-nucleotide microRNA precursor is filed under the name Medicago truncatula (barrel medic). Its description in RNAcentral is "MIR2670 microRNA precursor family". It matches the Rfam family "MIR2670 microRNA precursor family". The record is from Rfam by way of RNAcentral. Lineage: Eukaryota; Viridiplantae; Streptophyta; Magnoliopsida; Fabales; Fabaceae.
UCGGGGUAAAAUAGUGAGAAGCCGACAUGGGGAAGUGAUCAACCAUUGGGAUAAGUUUAUAUUUGCUUUUUUUUACUCCAUAAACUUUUUACCGUGGGUAAAAAGAUUCAUCUUGGGGUAUAAAAAAAAAUCAAAUUUAAAUUUAGCCCAAGAGUUGAUGAUGUAUUUUCCACAUGAAGGCUGCUCACUAUUUUACCCCAU